Molecule: ribosomal RNA, 465 nt
Filed under: Vreelandella stevensii
Lineage: Bacteria; Pseudomonadati; Pseudomonadota; Gammaproteobacteria; Oceanospirillales; Halomonadaceae
Description: partial 16S ribosomal RNA
Rfam family: Bacterial small subunit ribosomal RNA
Source: RNAcentral
CCUACGGGUGGCAGCAGUGGGGAAUAUUGGACAAUGGGCGAAAGCCUGAUCCAGCCAUGCCGCGUGUGUGAAGAAGGCCUUCGGGUUGUAAAGCACUUUCAGUGGGGAAGAAAGCCUUGGGGCUAAUACCCUCGAGGAAGGACAUCACCCACAGAAGAAGCACCGGCUAACUCCGUGCCAGCAGCCGCGGUAAUACGGAGGGUGCGAGCGUUAAUCGGAAUUACUGGGCGUAAAGCGCGCGUAGGCGGUCUGAUAAGCCGGUUGUGAAAGCCCCGGGCUCACCCUGGGAACGGCAUCCGGAACUGUCAGGCUAGAGUGCAGGAGAGGAAGGUAGAAUUCCCGGUGUAGCGGUGAAAUGCGUAGAGAUCGGGAGGAAUACCAGUGGCGAAGGCGGCCUUCUGGACUGACACUGACGCUGAGGUGCGAAAGCGUGGGUAGCAAACAGGAUUAGAUACCCGAGUAGUC